UUAGACCUCAAAUCAGGCAGGAUUACC
This 27-nucleotide ribosomal RNA is filed under the name Rhodosporidiobolus poonsookiae. RNAcentral describes it as "partial 26S rRNA". The record is from RNAcentral. Lineage: Eukaryota; Fungi; Basidiomycota; Microbotryomycetes; Sporidiobolales; Sporidiobolaceae.